UACGGAGGGUGCAAGCGUUAUCCGGAUUCACUGGGUUUAAAGGGUGCGUAGGCGGGCAGGUAAGUCAGUGGUGAAAUCCCCGAGCUUAACUUGGGAACUGCCGUUGAUACUAUCUGUCUUGAAUGCUGUGGAGGUAAGCGGAAUAUGUCAUGUAGCGGUGAAAUGCUUAGAUAUGACAUAGAACACCAAUUGCGAAGGCAGCUUGCUACACAGUUAUUGACGCUGAUGCACGAAAGCGUGGGGAUCAAACAGG
This 253-nucleotide ribosomal RNA is filed under the name uncultured bacterium. Its description in RNAcentral is "partial 16S ribosomal RNA". It matches the Rfam family "Bacterial small subunit ribosomal RNA", at positions 524 to 776 of the family's 1533-position model. The record is from RNAcentral.